Molecule: long non-coding RNA, 283 nt
Filed under: Vigna radiata
Lineage: Eukaryota; Viridiplantae; Streptophyta; Magnoliopsida; Fabales; Fabaceae
Description: long non-coding RNA (VRAD_LNC015229)
Source: RNAcentral
CAACUAAGGUCAAGUCAGGGAAUCCACAUACUUUGGUUUGUCUCAACAAGUAUAUCUCAACAAGUAUAUCUCGCCCAACGACAAUUAAGUCAGUAGCUCUCUGACUCCAACCUUGCCCAACGAGAACAUACUUGCCCAAUGUAUAGAGGGUGUUGCUCCCUCCACCUCCCCAAGUGGGUCCUGCACCUCCCCACUAUUUUAAUUUAUUUCAAAAAUAUUCUACACCUCUCUACUAUUUUAUUUUAUUCCAAAUACCCUACACCUCUCCACUAUCCUUAACAAU